GACGAACGCUGGCGGCGUGCCUAAUACAUGCAAGUUGAGCGAUGAAGCUUGGUGCUUGCACCAAUUUGAAGAGCAGCGAACGGGUGAGUAACGCGUGGGGAAUCUGCCUUUGAGCGGGGGACAACAUUUGGAAACGAAUGCUAAUACCGCAUAACAACUUUAAACAUAAGUUUUAAGUUUGAAAGAUGCAAUUGCAUCACUCAAAGAUGAUCCCGCGUUGUAUUAGUUAGUUGGUGAGGUAAAGGCUCACCAAGGCGAUGAUACAUAGCCGACCUGAGAGGGUGAUCGGCCACAUUGGGACUGAGACACGGCCCAAACUCCUACGGGAGGCAGCAGUAGGGAAUCUUCGGCAAUGGACGAAAGUCUGACCGAGCAACGCCGCGUGAGUGAAGAAGGUUUUCGGAUCGUAAAACUCUGUUGGUAGAGAAGAACGUUGGUGAGAGUGGAAAGCUCAUCAAGUGACGGUAACUACCCAGAAAGGGACGGCUAACUACGUG
This 497-nucleotide ribosomal RNA is filed under the name uncultured bacterium. RNAcentral's name for it is "partial 16S ribosomal RNA". It matches the Rfam family "Bacterial small subunit ribosomal RNA", at positions 28 to 507 of the family's 1533-position model. The record is from RNAcentral.